GACGUAGGGCGCGAGCGUUGUCCGGAAUUAUUGGGCGUAAAGAGCUCGUAGGCGGCUUGUCGCGUCUGCUGUGAAAAUCCGGGGCUCAACCCCGGACUUGCAGUGGGUACGGGCAGACUAGAGUGUGGUAGGGGAGACUGGAAUUCCUGGUGUAGCGGUGGAAUGCGCAGAUAUCAGGAGGAACACCGAUGGCGAAGGCAGGUCUCUGGGCCACUACUGACGCUGAGAAGCGAAAGCAUGGGGAGCGAACAGG
This 253-nucleotide ribosomal RNA is filed under the name uncultured bacterium. RNAcentral's name for it is "partial 16S ribosomal RNA". It matches the Rfam family "Bacterial small subunit ribosomal RNA", at positions 524 to 776 of the family's 1533-position model. The record is from RNAcentral.